Molecule: long non-coding RNA, 1191 nt
Filed under: Vulpes vulpes (red fox)
Lineage: Eukaryota; Metazoa; Chordata; Mammalia; Carnivora; Canidae
Description: lncRNA (ENSVVUG00000014511.1)
Source: RNAcentral
AUGGACCAAGCGUGGUGCUGGACCCUUGAUGCACAGUAUCUCCGAUUGCCGCAAUUUAGGACAGAGGACAACAAAGAAGUACUUGGCUUUAACCUCAUGACCCUCAACGGACAGUAUCGCCUCGUUCGUAUUGCUGUGGCGUCAUGUCCCAGUAACACAGAGGGUGAACUCAGAUAGACCUGGAGCCACACAGAUCUGGUUCAAAACCUAACUCUACACUGGAUCAACCAUGGUGCUUCUGGACAAAUUCCCCAACCUCUCAAUGUCUCUGCUCAUCUACAAAAUGACAACACCAAUCACACGCUCCUCGCCAUAUUACCAGAGAGAUGUUAUGAAAAUCAAGUGCUGAAAUGAAUACAGAGUGACCAGCAGAGUGGCCGGCAUGUAGGGAGCGCUUGGUGGAUGUUGACUUUAAAUACUUAGAGUGACACAUAUACAUAGAGCAGCAAAUUUGUGUCAGGUUAUAAAGCAAAUGCUGCUGAAUUUGACUUCUCUGUUUCAGGGAAGGAUCCAUGUGAGGAGCAACCUUCCUCUUAUUACUUCCUAUUGUCAUUGCUGGUUUAAAUAUUUGUUGUUGUUGUUUUAUUGUAAAAUUGCAGAAAUAGGAGGCUGAGCUUUUGAUCUUGCAUUAAAGGAAGCAGAGUUUCACAGAAGAAGGGAACGGGGAGGGGUGGGGCUGUUAGAAAGGCUCUACAAAGUGCUCGCUUCGGCAGCACAUAUACUAAAAUUGGAAAGGCUCUACGAAGGGGGCCAGGUGAGCUGAGUUCUGUCUCGACAUAUGUGUGUUAGCAUGUGGGACCUGGCCCCUGUAAAUACGUCCAUCUUUAGAGUUUACGUUUUCUUUCUGUUCUAGAGAGCUGGGGAGUGUUUAUCCUCAUUUGCUUAGUAAAGUCUCUCUGGAUAGAUUUUUACAGGGAUAGGGAUUUGCCUUUUCUUGGACAAGCAUGGCUAGGAGGUCAGGGUGAGCCCAGAGGGUAGGGAAACUGGUGGCAGUUAUUAUGAUCUCCUCAAACCCCCAACUCCCCAACUGCCUCCUCCUCUGGCUGGAGGGAGAGAGAAGGAUAAGCUAGCCGGGAAGACUGAUGUAGCCCCCUCUCAAGGCCUUCUCUCAAGGGAUAAAUUUACCUCAGUCCUUUACAACAAACACACACACAAACAGAAAACUAUGCAAAAUAAAAUGUGAAGUCCUUC